RNAcentral lists this long non-coding RNA (365 nucleotides) under Carica papaya (papaya). RNAcentral describes it as "long non-coding RNA (CPAP_LNC000119)". Lineage: Eukaryota; Viridiplantae; Streptophyta; Magnoliopsida; Brassicales; Caricaceae. The record is from RNAcentral.
GUAACACCCCGCCCAUCACUGUACUAAAAUGAUUUAAAAACUUUAUUUAUUCUGACCUUUGGCCGCUGCCUUGGGUGGCCUGCUGCCGCUGCCUUGGAGGAGGCCCACCUCCCUCAUUUUUAACUGAUUUUUGCCACUUUACGCAUAUCUGACAGUUCUAAAACUCUACAAAUUGCCCUCCCCCUUCCCUUCCUCUCCACGCUUCCAUUCUUCAAUUUUUCAAAGGUUUAAAGAGUGAGAGAGAUGAAAGAGAGAUAGUACUUUAGAAAGAGAAAAAAAGAAAGAAAAGAGAACAGUGAAGGAGAAAACAUCAAGAUUUCGGUAAGGAAUAUAGUAUUUCUUUCGAUGUCUUAAGGAGUAUUUUU